UCCCUGGAGGACUAGUGGUUUGGCCACAGCGCUCUCACUGCCACGGCCCAGGUUUGAUUCCCGGCCAGGGAA
RNAcentral lists this transfer RNA (72 nucleotides) under Pangasius djambal. RNAcentral's name for it is "tRNA-Glu". It matches the Rfam family "tRNA". Rfam says of the family: Transfer RNA (tRNA) molecules are approximately 80 nucleotides in length. The record is from RNAcentral. Lineage: Eukaryota; Metazoa; Chordata; Actinopteri; Siluriformes; Pangasiidae.